RNAcentral lists this ribosomal RNA (669 nucleotides) under uncultured bacterium. RNAcentral's name for it is "bacterial SSU rRNA". It matches the Rfam family "Bacterial small subunit ribosomal RNA", at positions 86 to 754 of the family's 1533-position model. The record is from RNAcentral.
GAUAUGAUAGUGGCGCACGGGUGCGUAACACGUAUGCAACCUACCUUAUAGACGGGGAUAGCCUUUGGAAACGGAGAUUAAUACCCGAUAGUAUAUAUUGAUGGCAUCAUUAGUAUAUUAAAGAUUUAUUGCUAUAAGCUGGGCAUGCGUCCAAUUAGUUAGUUGGUUAGGUAAUGGCUGACCAAGACGAUGAUUGGUAGGGGAACUGAGAGGUUAAUCCCCCACACUGGCACUGAGAUACGGGCCAGACUCCUACGGGAGGCAGCAGUAGGGAAUAUUGGGCAAUGGAGGCAACUCUGACCCAGCCAUGCCGCGUGCAGGAUGAAGGCGUUAUGCGUUGUAAACUGCUUUUAUAUAGGAAGAAACAGACCUUGCGAGGUAAUUUGACGGUACUAUAUGAAUAAGCACCGGCUAACUCCGUGCCAGCAGCCGCGGUAAUACGGAGGGUGCAAGCGUUGUCCGGAUUUAUUGGGUUUAAAGGGUGCGUAGGCGGUUUAUUAAGUCAGUGGUGAAAGACGGUCGCUCAACGAUUGCAGUGCCAUUGAUACUGGUAGACUUGAGUGAGAUUGAGGUAGCUGGAAUGGAUAGUGUAGCGGUGAAAUGCAUAGAUAUUAUCCAGAACACCAAUUGCGUAGGCAAGUUACUAAGUCUCAACUGACGCUGAGGCAC